AGUGAACGCUGGCGGUAGGCCUAACACAUGCAAGUCGAACGGCAGCACAGUAAGAGCUUGCUCUUACGGGUGGCGAGUGGCGGACGAGUGAGGAAUACAUCGGAAUCUACUUUUUCGUGGGGGAUAACGUAGGGAAACUUACGCUAAUACCGCAUACGACCUACGGGUGAAAGCAGGGGAUCUUCGGACCUUGCGCGAUUGAAUGAGACGAUGUCGGAUUAGCUAGUUGGCGGGGUAAAGGCCCACCAAGGCGACGAUCCGUAGCUGGUCUGAGAGGAUGAUCAGCCACACUGGAACUGAGACACGGUCCAGACUCCUACGGGAGGCAGCAGUGGGGAAUAUUGGACAAUGGGCGCAAGCCUGAUCCAGCCAUACCGCGUGGGUGAAGAAGGCCUUCGGGUUGUAAAGCCCUUUUGUUGGGAAAGAAAAGCAGCAGGUUAAUACCCCGCUGUUCUGACGGUACCCAAAGAAUAAGCACCGGCUAACUUCGUG
RNAcentral lists this ribosomal RNA (492 nucleotides) under uncultured bacterium. RNAcentral describes it as "partial 16S ribosomal RNA". It matches the Rfam family "Bacterial small subunit ribosomal RNA", at positions 29 to 507 of the family's 1533-position model. The record is from RNAcentral.